CAUUAACUAUAUGAGGGGAGGGCUGGGCUUCGGCCUGCCCCUCUCUGACUAUUCUACCCGUGUCUUUUGCGUACUAUUUGUUUCCUCGGUGGGCUUGCCCGCCGAUAGGACACUAUAAAAACCUUUUGUAAUUGCAGUCAGCGUCAGUAAAAACUUAAUAGUUACAACUUUCAACAACGGAUCUCUUGGUUCUGGCAUCGAUGAAGAACGCAGCGAAAUGCGAUAAGUAGUGUGAAUUGCAGAAUUCAGUGAAUCAUCGAAUCUUUGAACGCACAUUGCGCCCCUUGGUAUUCCAUGGGGCAUGCCUGUUCGAGCGUCAUUUGUACCCUCAAGCUUUGCUUGGUGUUGGGCGUCUUGUCCCGCGUUUGCGUGUGGACUCGCCUUAAAGCGAUUGGCAGCCGGCAUAUUGGCCUUGGAGCGCAGCACAAUUUGCGUUUCUAGUCAUGAAUGUUGGCGUCCAUUAAGCCUAUAACAUUUGCUCUUGACCUCGGAUCAGGUAGG
RNAcentral lists this ribosomal RNA (501 nucleotides) under Phoma sp. Di281-1. RNAcentral's name for it is "eukaryotic LSU rRNA". The stretch from base 166 to 319 matches the Rfam family "5.8S ribosomal RNA". The record is from RNAcentral. Lineage: Eukaryota; Fungi; Ascomycota; Dothideomycetes; Pleosporales; Didymellaceae.